UACAGAGGUCUCGAGCGUUGUUCGGAUUUACUGGGCGUAAAGGGAGCGUAGGCGGUUCAGUAUGUCGAAUGUGAAAUCCCACGACUCAACCGUGGAAUGGCAUUCGAAACUGCUGGGCUAGAGUACUGGAGAGGAGAGCGGAAUUCUUGGUGUAGCGGUGAAAUGCGUAGAUAUCAAGAGGAACACCGGUGGCGAAGGCGGCUCUCUGGACAGAUACUGACGCUGAGGCUCUAAAGUUAGGGGAGCAAACAGGAUUAGA
RNAcentral lists this ribosomal RNA (259 nucleotides) under uncultured prokaryote. RNAcentral's name for it is "partial 16S ribosomal RNA". It matches the Rfam family "Bacterial small subunit ribosomal RNA", at positions 524 to 782 of the family's 1533-position model. The record is from RNAcentral.